This 724-nucleotide long non-coding RNA is filed under the name Lepisosteus oculatus (spotted gar). Its description in RNAcentral is "lncRNA (ENSLOCG00000021106.1)". Lineage: Eukaryota; Metazoa; Chordata; Actinopteri; Semionotiformes; Lepisosteidae. The record is from RNAcentral.
GGAUAAGGUACAAACUCCAUGCCGAUAGCACCCCGGGUCCGGGUGUGCACAGGCAGUGAUGAUUAAAUAUCCUCAAUAUUGCACUUGGCUGUAGCCACCUGAAUUGGUCUGGACUCAUCUUGCCAUGAAUCAGUGACUUGUCUGUGCACCAUUGUUUCUCUUCUUACCCGCCAAAUGCAUCACUUUGAGACACUGCUUCAUGUCCAUGUGAAAUCAUGUUGGUAUUUUAAGAAGCAGUUCUUUAUUGACACAUUCUGAAGAAAAGCAUCAUAUUUAUUGACUGUAAUGCAGAGCAACAGUACAUGUGAACUGGGUAAAAGAGCUCUUGAAAUGUUUUGUGUAAGACUUGCAUGCUAAAUGGCAUGUGUUGUCUUCUGCCCUAAACAAAGAGAGCCAGUACUUGAUGAACACAACUGCUGCAAGUCCAGUUUUGCCACGGCCUGCCCGUUGCUGAAGCCUCAUUCCAGCGGGAUUCACUCUGUUUCCACAGCCGGUGCAGAAAGUGUUGAGCAGCCCACCCCUGAAGCUUGAUUCACCACGAAGAGAAGCAACAUGAUUCCCAAGACCUUUUAAGCCAGACCGUGUCAAAGACUCAAGGAGCCUUGUUGCCGGGGGAACACACCGGAGUCUGUCUUUGGUGCUUUAAUAAACAAAAGUGCUUCACUUCCUUAUGGUGUUAUGGAUGUCUUAUUUCAAUGGCUGCUUCUCUGCUUUGUUCCAGGUC